AGCGAACGCUGGCGGCAGGCUUAACACAUGCAAGUCGAACGGGCACCUUCGGGUGUCAGUGGCAGACGGGUGAGUAACACGUGGGAACGUACCCUUUGGUUCGGAACAACUCUGGGAAACUGGAGCUAAUACCGGAUACGCCCUUGGCUUUUGGCUUUGGGGAAAGGUUGACUGCCGAAGGAUCGGCCCGCGUCUGAUUAGCUAGUUGGUGAGGUAACGGCUCACCAAGGCGACGAUCAGUAGCUGGUCUGAGAGGAUGAUCAGCCACACUGGGACUGAGACACGGCCCAGACUCCUACGGGAGGCAGCAGUGGGGAAUAUUGGACAAUGGGCGCAAGCCUGAUCCAGCCAUGCCGCGUGAGUGAUGAAGGCCUUAGGGUUGUAAAGCUCUUUUGUCCGGGACGAUAAUGACGGUACCGGAAGAAUAAGCCCCGGCUAACUUCGUGCCAGCCGCCGCAGUAAAAC
This 465-nucleotide ribosomal RNA is filed under the name uncultured bacterium. Its description in RNAcentral is "bacterial SSU rRNA". It matches the Rfam family "Bacterial small subunit ribosomal RNA", at positions 29 to 526 of the family's 1533-position model. The record is from RNAcentral.